CUUUUAUAUAAUUUGACUUCUUGUGUUUGAUUUGAAAUUCCAAUAGGUUUGAAUUGUCUGAAAUUGAUUGCUAAAUAUAUGCCCUUACAAUUUACAUGAUCUUCGAUAUGCAAAUUGAACUCUUGCCCAGAUUUCGGUCUGUCCCAAAAACAGAUCAGCCACACCAGGGGGUGAAUCGCUUAUGACGCUUCGAUGACACAAAGGGGAUGAGGGCAGGCGGGUAAAAUGAUUAAGCAUAAUCGCCUCGAGCAUUCUAUUGAAUUGACUGAGAGCAAUCGAUGUAACCACAAUAGAAAAGAAAAUGUACUUUCCAAUAACACAUAAAGUUUAAGAAUUUAUGAGGUAGAUAAAGAUAUUUAAAACAUUCUUAAGUUGUACAUUUUUAAUAAUUUUGGUGAAUUAAAUAUUUUUGUACAAUUCUUUUUAAAUUUGUAGUAAUUUGUGUACUAAUCCAACCAUAUUAUCCUUUACCAAUUUCUUUGGAGUCAACUUAAUUUAGUAUUUCAUAUUAUAUUCUUUUUUAAUAGUAUGCCCAAAUAAACCAAAGCUAUAAAAAAUUCACUCGAGCUGCCUAUUCAUUUAGUAUUCUGCUCAAGGUGCAUUCAAAUUUUUAAAAGUUCUCACGAAAAAGUGAAAAUCGGCAACGGGAUGAGCAAACGGUAUAAAAAAAGAGGAAAAAUCAGCUAAAAAAAACGCGUACAUCGGGAAAGGGUUUAAUCAUUUUUUUUUAAAUAGGACGAUUAAUGUAUAAAAAACGCAGACACAAAACAUACAUGUGGCCAAAGGACAGGGCCAGGGCGACCCUCGGCAUUGUUUGAAUUGAAAAGGAAUCAUCGUGGACGGCGGCUCAGUCUCGGGCUCAGCUUCGUCGAGUGAUUUGCAUAUGAUGACGAUGACGACGACGCCGAGGACGAGGACGAGGACGAGAUCCUGUUGGCGAAACCACCACCACACGACACCACCACACAGGCAGCCUUAUCUAUUUGCCUUUGCCCAGGGGCCAGGGAUCAAGUUCAGCGUUUUAUUCAAAUUUCCUUGAUCGAGCGCGUCGUGUGAAGAUGUUUCGCUGGAAAGGGCAAAGAUGCGUCUGUGUCUGUGACUGAAGCUGAGACUGAGACUGAGCCUGGGAACAUCCGCGAAAACGUCUCAUGUCCCUUUCAUAGACAUUUGAUUCGAUGGGGCGUUUGCUUUUAGUAUGCCAAGCCUAAUUAGUUGGCAUCAAACAGAAGUUAUAGGCAAACAAAAAUUGUAUUUAUAAUGAUGGAAAUUAUAGGAAUUUCAUAAGAUAUAAAAAAUGUUUAGAAUUUUAAGUGAUCUUCAGAAUUUUCUUAGUAUUUAUAACAGUAAAUUUAAU
Long non-coding RNA from Drosophila albomicans, 1354 nucleotides. RefSeq lists it as uncharacterized. The transcript has 3 exons. The record is from RefSeq and is a predicted model, not a curated record. NCBI's taxonomy places the organism in Eukaryota, Metazoa, Arthropoda, Insecta, Diptera, Drosophilidae.